AUAUGUAUAACAGCAUACAAGCAGAGUAAUUAAAGUUGCAUCACUUAGACAUAACAUAUAUGUGUAUCUCAAUAAUCCAUCAUGUCUACAAGCAUAUGUAGGUUCACAAGCCCAGAUUACAACACAACAACAAAAAGCCCAUGCACAUAUAGGCGUACAUUUGUAGGUUCAUAGGUCUAGUAUUGCAUCAUAGACAAAAGCACAAAAUAUAAUAUCUGGUCUUUGUUAGAAACAGAUCACAGCAGAAGAUCCUUUUAGCUCACGAAACACACCUCUUGAAACUUGUGGAUGGAAAAGAAUUAUACCCGUGACCUGUAAAAAAGAAGAAAUGGCCAAUUAGAUCAGCUUGGAAGAACACAUUUUCCACAAAAAGAAACUUGUGGGUGCAAGCAAUAGCAGGUCAGAAUUCCACAAGGCACACGCAGAAUGCGUGUUAUGUACUCAUAAGAACAGAUAAUGCACAUGGUGAUUAGAGUUAAGGUUUUCACUUGGGAAAUGGUUACUAACUUACCUGGACCAAGUUUUACUUUUGCAAUUUAAUAGAAUAGAGCGAUUGACUUGGAAGUCACUAUGUUUAUUAUUAGCGAAGACGACGAGCUAUGAUUAAUUUUCAAUAGAAUAGACAUUGUGAUCAGAAGUAAAAUUGUCAUGUUGGAUGAAACAAAUAUAAAGGGGUCCAUGGUAAUUUAUCUUGAUUGAAACUACAGGCUCGGGUAGGCUCUAUUCAGAUAGCAUGAGAAUAACUCUUGCAGGACAAAAGGAAAGAAGAAAGUUGGCCCUGGUACUCUGCUAGCAUUCAUCCCAAAUACCAGGGAAAGUGAGGCCUAAUUUUUGCAAGAGCUGGUUCAUUACACGCUUUCUCUAGAAAAUAAUGAAAACGAAAUAAGCUUUUCUUUAGAAUAUUCAGAAUUAUAAUUAUAUGCAAUACCUUCUAGACGUGGGGACUGCUACCGGCUAUGAUGGUUGCUUCUGCAUAACUUCGCAACAUUAAGAACCAAGCUCAACACCUGCCACUAUCUUCGUCCAAUCAAUUAAAUGGAUAGUUAGCAGCCAAACACAUUCAGGAUGUGCAUAAAUUAAUGCAAAGACAGUAAAAAUGAAUCCUGUAAGUUAAUGCAAAGCAGAGCAAGUUCCUGUGACUUAGUAGUGCCACUUAUUCCAUGACUACCAUUACUGCGGAAAAAAUAAAGGAUCAAAAUAAAAAAGAGAUAAUGUUGAAAUCACAGCAAGAUGGAGGACCAUUAAUUGCAACUUCAUCUUUAGCUUCAAUUCAUACACCCAAGAAAAAACCACAAAGGGCCUAUUUGGAAUAAUUUAUGAUAUCUCUAGGUAAUGAUUUUGAACUAGCAAUAAUUAGCACGCAUGGAUUGAUCAACGCAAGGACAGAUAUAUGAAACAUAAGGAUUAGAAGAAUAGCAGAGAGCAACAUAUUUUAGGCCUGUUCUUAUUGGUCAACGUAAUCAGUGAGGAUGUUCUUGUUGCAGCCAUGCUAAAAUAUAACCGGAAGUACAUAUGCCAAGCAGCCAAGCAUGAAGCUGUUAAUUAGAUCUGAAAAUCAAACAAACAAGUAUUUACCAUAUCGGUAAAUAUUUCUAUUGUAAAACAGCAAAGAACAGAAAUGAAGAUAUAUUGAGAAUCUUUAAAUGUGAAGGUUUAGCACCUACUGAACAUAGCGCCUACAGUGUAAGCUUGACGAAAAAGAACUAGCUAUCCAAAUUAGACUGCAUGUCACAGUGUUAACCAUAACUAUCGAGAAAAUUAAAGUGUAUUAUUGAACAGAUGAUGCAAUUCUGAAUUUGCAAGAGAAGAUAUAAAAUCCUAUGUUGCUCAAUGCAAAGAAUGCAAGAUACAAGCACUAUGUAUAUCAGGUUCAUAAUAACAAAAUACACAUGGAAGUCUAAGUAGCAUGCAUGUUAUCUAUUCUUACCUCUUAUUCUAGAAUGUAUUGUGUUACGUGUACUAAUCACAUCUAUUCAUUACUGUUAUUCCAGAACUUAUCAUGUUAAAUGUAGAUAAUUUAAUUAGACCAUAUACUUUCAGGGAGGGGGGCGAACAACAAAAUCAUCUAUCCAAACAUCAGAUAUGACAUUCAGUUUUACAAGCUCACAACUAUCUUACAUACGCAAUGAAAGUAGAAAGACAUCUGACAAACACACCAGGGUACAAAACGUGGAAUUAAGUGUCACUAGAUAAUUGCAUUUGAGGGCAGAAUGUUUAUGCUAGCUGACUCAAACUCAGUUGACACAAUGUCACCUAGCCACAUCGACAUUUGCCAGUGCCAUCUUCUAGUCGGAGCAAACUUGAGCCAUGCAUUUCUGAACAACCAAGAACAGCGAAGCCACAAAAAGCCCAUAUUCUGUCAUUUCUGGAGGCUCCCUGUAUGGAAGCACGAAGGGACAUAUCUACGCAUAGUUGUAGAAAAAAUAUCUGAACAACAACUAGAAUGAUUAUUUGUUAUAAGGCAAUAACGCAGGAAUCAAAGGGCUUUUUAACUGCAUAAACUCUAAACAAGACAUAUUAAUUUGAUUGGUUAAGCUAUAGCUGCAGUGUUGAUUUAUAAUUUUAACAAGAGGGAAAGAGAGACUAAAACAGAACAUAUUUAGUACAUAGCUAUCGUGCAGCAAAACUCUCGACAAUAAACUUCAUUUAUAAGAAGAGCAGAGGACCGAAAAGGUAGAAGAGGGGGCAGCAGCCUAUGGACACAUGCUGAGGAAAGCAGAGCAACAGAAAGGUGGUGGGCGCCGGACCUGCAGGCUUGCCUAUUGGCAGGUGCACAUCAUAGGCAACGGAUACGUGAUGAGCGGGUGGAGGGCACCGAAGGCCAGGC
This 2827-nucleotide long non-coding RNA is filed under the name Triticum aestivum (bread wheat). RNAcentral's name for it is "long non-coding RNA (TAES_LNC009321)". Lineage: Eukaryota; Viridiplantae; Streptophyta; Magnoliopsida; Poales; Poaceae. The record is from RNAcentral.